This 468-nucleotide ribosomal RNA is filed under the name uncultured bacterium. Its description in RNAcentral is "partial 16S ribosomal RNA". It matches the Rfam family "Bacterial small subunit ribosomal RNA", at positions 28 to 507 of the family's 1533-position model. The record is from RNAcentral.
GACGAACGCUGGCGGCGUGCUUAACACAUGCAAGUCGAACGGAAAGGCCCUGCUUUUGUGGGGUGCUCGAGUGGCGAACGGGUGAGUAACACGUGAGUAACCUGCCCUUGACUUUGGGAUAACUUCAGGAAACUGGGGCUAAUACCGGAUAGGAGCUCCUGCUGCAGGGUGGGGGUUGGAAAGUUUCGGCGGUUGGGGAUGGACUAGCGGCUUAUCAGCUUGUUGGUGGGGUAGUGGCUUAGCAAGGCUUGGACGGGUAGCAGGCCUGAGAGGGUGACCGGCCCCGUUGGGACUGAGCUACGACCCAGCCUCGUACGGUAGGCAGCAGUGGGGAAUAUUGCACUAUGGGCUGAACCCUGAUGCGGCCACGCCGCGUGCGGGAUGACGGCCUUCGGGUUGUAAACCGCUUUCGCCUGUGACGAAGCGUGAGUGACGGUAAUGGGUAAAGAAGCACCGGCUAACUACGUG